RNAcentral lists this ribosomal RNA (254 nucleotides) under uncultured bacterium. Its description in RNAcentral is "partial 16S ribosomal RNA". It matches the Rfam family "Bacterial small subunit ribosomal RNA", at positions 524 to 776 of the family's 1533-position model. The record is from RNAcentral.
UACGGGGGGAGCAAGCGUUGUUCGGAUUUACUGGGCGUAAAGGGCGCGUAGGCGGCCAGCGCAAGUCAGUUGUGAAAUCUCCGGGCUUAACUCGGAAAGGUCAACUGAUACUGCGCGGCUAGAGUGCGGAAGGGGCAACUGGAAUUCUCGGUGUAGCGGUGAAAUGCGUAGAUAUCGAGAGGAACACCUGCGGCGAAGGCGGGUUGCUGGGCCGACACUGACGCUGAGGCGCGAAAGCUAGGGGAGCAAACAGG